UUAUUAUGUGUCCUUGAGUGAAUAAUUGCUUCUGCUCUUGACAAUGUUACUGUUCCUAAGUAUGGGCACUACACAUAACAUGCCUGGCAGUAAAUACGUUUUGGCAAGCUCUAUUUAAAUUUUGUAAUAAUUAUUUAACAAUUUCAAACAUCUCUAAUAAAGAUUAAUUUUAACCAGAAUUUCCUCGUUUGGAAUUGGUUCCGGAUUUUCAGUGUUCCUCUGUUCAGCAUUUACAGAGUAUGUUGUACAAUGUAAAAAAUAAAUAUAUAUAUUUAUUUCUUAAUGCAUGUUCAAGAUCAUAUUCAGCACUUAUUUUGAUUAUUUAAUAGUUGCAGUGGAAUGUGCCUGAGACGAUUCCCCACAGCGCCUGCAUAUAUAGUCAGCUUGUGUAAAUGGAAUCUGAAUGCUCACAAGAAAUGACAAAAGCAGUAUGAAAAUUAACACAAAGAAAUUGUGCCAGAAAGUUUGAAGUAUCUUUGGGAAUGAUCAACAUGAACUUGCUGAGUCUUCCUUCUUAAAGUGACUUGACCAGAUAUAUGGCUACCCAGUUUGAGGUACGAACUACUCAUUUGUUGUACGACUUAUUGUUUAUGAGAUUGCCACCAUUUACUGGAACUUUGAAUUUGCUGUCCACUUUAAACCCCUUCUAUCUACAGUUAUCUUUCUGCUAAAUGAAAUAAAAUAUUGUGGAGGAACAUGGAGAAAUGGGCAGCUCAACAUGUUCAAGGUCAAGCAGCUUAUUACCAUAUCCAUAGUAUCUUGCUGCUAAAUGAAAAAAUUAAUGUGGAGGAACAGAGAAAAGGGCACCUGGACAUAAUCAAGGUCAAGCAG
Molecule: long non-coding RNA, 831 nt
Organism: Saccostrea cuccullata (small rock oyster)
Lineage: Eukaryota; Metazoa; Mollusca; Bivalvia; Ostreida; Ostreidae
Exons: 5
Source: RefSeq, a predicted model, not a curated record